RNAcentral lists this ribosomal RNA (502 nucleotides) under Pteroplatytrygon violacea (pelagic stingray). RNAcentral's name for it is "partial 16S ribosomal RNA". It matches the Rfam family "Bacterial large subunit ribosomal RNA", at positions 1860 to 2551 of the family's 2925-position model. Lineage: Eukaryota; Metazoa; Chordata; Chondrichthyes; Myliobatiformes; Dasyatidae. The record is from RNAcentral.
UGCCCUGUGAUUUUUUUAACGGCCGCGGUAUCUUGACCGUGCGAAGGUAGCGUAAUCAACUGUCUUUUAAUAGAAGGCCCGCUGAAAGGCAUCACGAGAGUUUAUCUGUCUUUAUUCUCUAAUCAAUGAAAUUGAUUCUCUCGUGCAGAAGCGAGAAUAAUUGCAUAAGACGAGAAGACCCUAUGGAGCUUUAAACACUUAAGUUAUUUUAAACACCAAAAAUUUUCCUACCUCAGGGUAUAAAAAAUAAACUAAUCUUCUAACUUAACGUUUUUGGUUGGGGCGACCAAGGGGAAAAACAAAACCCCCUUAUCGAGUGGGUGAGAAGUCACUCAAAAUUAGAACUACAGUUCUAAUUAAUAGAAAAUCUAACGAAUAAUGACCCAGGAAAAUAUCCUGAUCAAUGAACCAAGUUACCCUAGGGAUAACAGCGCAAUCCUUUCUUAGAGUCCCCAUCACCGAAAGGGUUUACGACCUCGAUGUUGGAUCAGGACAUCCUAAU